GGGGCUGACAUGGAUUUGACAGCAGGAUGAUAGUUUGUGUAAGCACGCAGUGAGUCGGUGAUUGCUCACUAUAAUCCAUAGUUACCAAAGAUUUAAUUGGCGAAAAUACUUACGCUCUCGCUGCUUAAUCGAAGUACAGUAGAUGUAGCUUUAUCAAGGCACAAGGUGCUUUGACGAGAUGUCACUCAAAGGCUCUUGCUCCGAAGCAUUUGAUCCAGUGGCACAGGAAUAUCGGGGAUAGUUGGCAAUGGCCCUGCAUUGUGCAAUGAAUUCUUAAGGGAUAAGAUGCAGGUUGGUGGCCCAGGUCUUGCUUGCAUUCGAAAAUCAAGGCUGGGAUAAGCGUGUAGAAAGCACAGGGUGUCCCUGUUUGGACGAGGGUUCAAUCCCCUCCAGCUCCACUU
Molecule: transfer-messenger RNA, 401 nt
Filed under: Bacteroidaceae
Lineage: Bacteria; Pseudomonadati; Bacteroidota; Bacteroidia; Bacteroidales
Also listed under: 1 other name
Description: UBA4372 sp017379075 Standard tmRNA
Rfam family: transfer-messenger RNA
About the family: Bacterial tmRNA, also known as 10Sa RNA or SsrA, is named for its dual tRNA and mRNA-like properties. Its role is to liberate the mRNA from a stalled ribosome.
Source: RNAcentral